UUACAGAUGCAUUUCAGGACUUUACUUCCAAGAAAGAACUGGGCAGUGGUCUAUCAGAAUCAAACAGUUCUGAGGCCCCCACCCUAGCAAUGCAUCUGGGAGACAUACUGCCAUUGGAUGCCUCCUAAGAUGUGAAUGCCAGGCUGGAUCAGAUCCAAGGCCCAUCCCUGACUCUCACAGUGGCCAGGUCCUUCGGAAGAAGGAGGAAGAAACCCCUCAGUGGGUUUCCUCCAUGGACUGAGUGGCAUUAGCACGUGCGGUACUCCCCAGCUUUGGGGAUUUGGAUAACACAGGACCAGCUUCCAGGCCAAACCUCCUCCUCUCCAGCUCUGGAAAAUCUAUUCUGGACCAUUACGCUGAAGGAAAAAUAUGGAGGAGAAUGGGUUAGGUUCUUCCGUGUGCAUGUGCUGGGGAUGAGAUGUCCUUGGGAGCCCAGCCUCCCUCUUUGUUAUCGUCGGCAGAACGGC
Molecule: long non-coding RNA, 467 nt
Organism: Chelonia mydas (Green sea turtle)
Lineage: Eukaryota; Metazoa; Chordata; Testudines; Cheloniidae
Exons: 4
Source: RefSeq, a predicted model, not a curated record